GUAAUCUUGGGGCUUAACCCUGAGCGUGCUUUCGAUACGGGUUGACUUGAGGAAGGUAGGGGAGAGUGGAAUUCCAGGUGUAGCGGUGAAAUGCGUAGAUAUCUGGAGGAACACCAGUGGCGAAGGCGGUUCUCUGGGCCUUUCCUGACGCUGAGGAGCGAAAGCGUGGGGAGCGAACAGGCUUAGAUACCCUGGUAGUCCACGCUGUAAACGGUGGGUACUAGGUGUGGGGUCCAUUCCACGGGUUCCGUGCCGUAGCUAACGCUUUAAGUACCCCGCCUGGGGAGUACGGCCGCAAGGCUAAAACUCAAAGGAAUUGACGGGGCCCCGCACAAGCGGCGGAGCAUGCGGAUUAAUUCGAUGCAACGCGUAGAACCUUACCUGGGUUUGACAUGGAUCGGGAGUGCUCAGAGAUGGGUGUGCCUCUUUUGGGGUCGCUUCACAGGUGGUGNNNNNNNNNAGCGCAACCCUUGUUCACUGUUGCCAGCACGUUAUGGUGGGGACUCAGUGGAGACCGCCGGGGUCAACUCGGAGGAAGGUGGGGAUGACGUCAAGUCAUCAUGCCCCUUAUGUCCAGGGCUUCACGCAUGCUACAAUGGCUGGUACAGAGAGUGGCGAGCCUGUGAGGGUGAGCGAAUCUCGGAAAGCCGGUCUCAGUUCGGAUUGGGGUCUGCAACUCGACCUCAUGAAGUCGGAGUCGCUAGUAAUCGCAGAUCAGCAACGCUGCGGUGAAUACGUUCCCGGGGCUUGUACACACCGCCCGUCAAGUCAUGAAAGUUGGUAACACCCGAAGCCGGUGGCCUAACCGUUGUGGGGGAGCCGUCGAAGGUGGGACUGGUGAUUAGGACUAAGUCGUAACAAGGUAGCCGUAUCGGAAGGUGCGGCUGGAUCACCUCCUUUUUAAGGAG
Molecule: ribosomal RNA, 908 nt
Filed under: Leptospira kmetyi
Lineage: Bacteria; Pseudomonadati; Spirochaetota; Leptospiria; Leptospirales; Leptospiraceae
Description: bacterial SSU rRNA
Rfam family: Bacterial small subunit ribosomal RNA
Source: RNAcentral